CAUAACCUCAUCUUGAAGUGACAGGAAAACAAGGUGUCUGACUUAUGCGAAUGUAAUAAUGUUAUAUACAUUUAAUUUAAGAACAAUAGUAAUCUUAAUUAUCAUCAACAAAGUUAUCAAUACCUGACGUUAUUAACUUUAGUUUUUCUAGAAUGAAUGUGUUUAUUUAUACAAAUACAAAUAGUUCUGUACAAUUUAUUAAAUAUUACUAGAAUGAAAUGGUAAAUACAAAGUUCGUAGAAACGAAUGUACAAAAGUAUGUAUAUAACAAACAUGAAAAUAAGCUUAAAACAAUAUUUUCAAAAAAAGAUAAAAAGAUAAAAUCGCGAAUUACUUUCGCUUCCUCGUUGUGACGUAUGCGAGCUAGGUCGAAAGAGAAAUAAUAGUAUAGGAGAAUCAAUUGAUCACGUUUGUCAUGUAAGUAAUUUUUAAGGUAAAAAGACAGUUUCGUGGUGAUUAAUCAUUCCCCUCGUAGCAGCUCGGCCUAUUUAAUAGCGUGUUCCAGUGGCCUGUCGCUCGGCCUUUUUUAUACCGGUUUCAAAGGCGGUCGAGUGUACUUGGUAUUUCGUAGCAAUGUGUCGUUACGAUGAUACCGUGCGAGAUUUUUGUCAGUAUCUUUCUUUUUUCUUUCCUUUCUUCUCUUCUUUUUUCUUGAAAACACGUACGAAUAUACGUAUGUCGUUUCGCAGUUUCCCAUUCGCGAUUGCAAGUUUUUGUCACAUUCAGUAUCAUCGUGCCCUAGUGUGGUUCGAGGUCUCACGCUUAAAAAUUGCUCUCGACCGAAAGUCUGAGUAUUCGAGCCAGUCAGGUAACAGGAAAAUAGAUGAUCGUUGAUGAAGUACAUGCUCGUACCGGCGUGUACGACAGACAGGAUUAUUAAGGUACUUAAGCUCAGACAACUAACUUGUAACUUGUAGUUUGCAUAAACGAAUAAAUGUAACUGACAAGUAAAAAGUUUCCCCUGGCUUGAGAAAAGCGUUUUAGUGGAUUUGAUUUUUCGCGAAACAUCUUUUCUGUUUGGAAAACUUCGGUAUUUUACGACGAAUUUCUCCUGCUUCAGAAGAUUCCGUCACUCGCGAAGAAUUUUUUCGUAUUACGAAAGAUUUUAUCUCUUGCAAAAAAUGUUUCCUCUCUCGAAGAGUUUGCUUUUUCGAGAAUCAGGUUUUUUCAGUUUGACCGUGUAAACUGCUUAUAAAAAAAAGCGGAUUAACGUAGCGAAGAGGACUAUUGCUGGAUCUGUAGCAGUUGGAAGUAACAGCUCGUAAUUUAUUUGCUUUUUAUUUAUCGGCCUGCUGUUCAUUGUUUUAGAGCAACAUCGAUUCACUUGUACCGAUAUUUAUUUUCAUUUCUCGUUUCGCUGGCCCAUUACACUCUGGACGUAGUUUACAGUUCCUAUAACGAAAGCACAUAAUUUACUUUUCUUUCAACGAGUGUAUAUCGUUUGAUCGUUGAAAUUUCGUCGGAAUUCAAACUAGAUAUCGGUCGGCAACAUAAACGCGUACAUAGUUACCGGCAAAUAGCUACAGGUGAAUUCGUAAUUAGCCUCGUUCUCUUUUCACGUUCAAUAGUGGUAGUUGAACUAUGACAGUUGUACAAUAUCGAGCGAACCGUUUGAACGUUACAGGUUACGAACUCGAUCGGUUUCAAUUUUUAUCUUAUCUUCGUGUUUUGAUUUUUAUCACGCGAUAAAGCGCGAGUACUCGUUGAACAUUGCUUUCGUUUCACCUCGAUUAGUGAGAAUGGUUUACGAUUAACGCGUUAUCGUAUAUUAAUUCCUUUUCAGCCAAAAUCUACUCUCCAUAAUACCAUCCUCUUUUUUUUAGUUCAACAAUGUCAACAAUGAUAGAUGGAAUUAUCUACCAUUGCACAACUAGAGAAGAUCGAAGUUUCCUUAUUUUCUUCCGCCAGUUUUGCGUCUUCCUUCGUUCGAUGUCGAAAUCUAACAUAAACAGGGACUGACGCUUCUCGCUCGCCACUGGAAUUGCAGCAUGGAAUAAUGCGUGGCAAAACUCGAUUUCAAACGACUUUCACGAAAGUAUCGGACUCUCUUAGCUUCCCAGAUAUUCGCAAAAAAAAAAUAAAAAAAGGUGUUUGGAAUUUGGAGUGGCCGUGUGAUAAUUACCGGGACGCUUUAUACGAACCAGAUUGCGAUCCUCGGGCAGGGCGACCGUCAAGAGUCUACGCACCCUAGUGCAGCCUCAUCAUAAACAGUGGGCCUAUUGUACAGUCCAGGUACUUUAGGAUCACACGGGAAAACCCAUAAAAACACAUAGGUCUUCAUUUUAUGGUACAUUGCAGGAAGACCGGGAACGCGGGUUUCGCCAAGUGCAAGGUCACCCGCGCGCGGUCCUUCAUCAUCCUCAAACAUACGUCUUUAUCCAAUUAUCAGUCAGGAACAGACUUGAGACACACCCACCACGAACUUUCCUCUACGACA
Molecule: long non-coding RNA, 2437 nt
Organism: Bombus pyrosoma
Lineage: Eukaryota; Metazoa; Arthropoda; Insecta; Hymenoptera; Apidae
Exons: 2
Source: RefSeq, a predicted model, not a curated record